GGGAUAAUAGUUAAAUUAACGUUUAAUUUGCAUUUAAAAAAUAUUGAAUUAUAUCAAUUUAUCUUA
RNAcentral lists this transfer RNA (66 nucleotides) under Neolema sp. EMHAU-15071012. RNAcentral's name for it is "tRNA-Ala". Lineage: Eukaryota; Metazoa; Arthropoda; Insecta; Coleoptera; Chrysomelidae. The record is from RNAcentral.